UUGAUCCUGGCUCAGGAUGAACGCUGGCGGCGUGCUUAACACAUGCAAGUCGAGCGAAGCGCUUAAGUUUGAUUCUUCGGAUGAAGACUUUUGUGACUGAGCGGCGGACGGGUGAGUAACGCGUGGGUAACCUGCCUCAUACAGGGGGAUAACAGUUAGAAAUGACUGCUAAUACCGCAUAAGACCACGGUACCGCAUGGUACAGUGGUAAAAACUCCGGUGGUAUGAGAUGGACCCGCGUCUGAUUAGGUAGUUGGUGGGGUAACGGCCUACCAAGCCGACGAUCAGUAGCCGACCUGAGAGGGUGACCGGCCACAUUGGGACUGAGACACGGCCCAGACUCCUACGGGAGGCAGCAGUGGGGAAUAUUGCACAAUGGAGGAAACUCUGAUGCAGCGACGCCGCGUGAAGGAUGAAGUAUUUCGGUAUGUAAACUUCUAUCAGCAGGGAAGAAAAUGACGGUACCUGACUAAGAAGCCCCGGCUAACUACGUGCCAGCAGCCGCGGUAAUACGUAGGGGGCAAGCGUUAUCCGGAUUUACUGGGUGUAAAGGGAGCGUAGACGGCACGGCAAGCCAGAUGUGAAAGCCCGGGGCUCAACCCCGGGACUGCAUUUGGAACUGCUGAGCUAGAGUGUCGGAGAGGCAAGUGGAAUUCCUAGUGUAGCGGUGAAAUGCGUAGAUAUUAGGAGGAACACCAGUGGCGAAGGCGGCUUGCUGGACGAUGACUGACGUUGAGGCUCGAAAGCGUGGGGAGCAAACAGGAUUAGGUACCCUGGUAGUCCACGCCGUAAACGAUGACUGCUAGGUGUCGGGUGGCAAAGCCAUUCGGUGCCGCAGCUAACGCAAUAAGCAUCCACCUGGGGAGUACGUUCGCAAGAAUGAAACUCAAAGGAAUUGACGGGGACCCGCACAAGCGGUGGAGCAUGUGGNUUAAUUCGAAGCAACGCGAAGAACCUUACCUGAUCUUGACAUCCCGAUGACCGCUUCGUAAUGGAAGCUUUUCUUCGGAACAUCGGUGACAGGUGGUGCAUGGUUGUCGUCAGCUCGUGUCGUGAGAUGUUGGGUUAAGUCCCGCAACGAGCGCAACCCCUAUCUUCAGUAGCCAGCAGGUUAAGCUGGGCACUCUGGAGAGACUGCCAGGGAUAACCUGGAGGAAGGUGGGGAUGACGUCAAAUCAUCAUGCCCCUUAUGACCAGGGCUACACACGUGCUACAAUGGCGUAAACAAAGAGAAGCGAACUCGCGAGGGUAAGCAAAUCUCAAAAAUAACGUCUCAGUUCGGAUUGUAGUCUGCAACUCGACUACAUGAAGCUGGAAUCGCUAGUAAUCGCAGAUCAGAAUGCUGCGGUGAAUACGUUCCCG
RNAcentral lists this ribosomal RNA (1362 nucleotides) under uncultured bacterium. Its description in RNAcentral is "16S ribosomal RNA". It matches the Rfam family "Bacterial small subunit ribosomal RNA", at positions 13 to 1376 of the family's 1533-position model. The record is from RNAcentral.